RNAcentral lists this unclassified non-coding RNA (2316 nucleotides) under Leishmania donovani. RNAcentral's name for it is "gene:LdHU3.04.1300(CDS-product:acyltransferase-li ke_protein_copy_2)". The record is from RNAcentral. Lineage: Eukaryota; Euglenozoa; Kinetoplastea; Trypanosomatida; Trypanosomatidae.
GAGGCGGACACCAACACGGGCACACACACACACGCACACCUGCAGCAUCGCGUGCAUUCCCUCGCUCUCCGUAAAGAUGGGUGCAGCGGUGGCUCGCGUAGUACAUGAGACGGCCGCACGGCUGCCGCACCUGACGGGCAGACAGCAGGGCGCCCUGCUGGCCGUGGCGCUCGGCACCGGCUACACACUUCUUCGCCAGCGCCUCGUGCCGAAGUGGAUCAUGCAGAAGUGGUUUCUGCUCUCCUCCACCGCCCUAAUCAUUCCAUCCUCUGCGCUUGUCUACCUGAUCGACCCGCUCCGCUACCUCGGUGUGCCGCGGCGGUGUGUGCAGAGCAUCUGCGUCCUCAUCUUCGGCUGCGUUUUCAAGGCUGUGUGGUGGGUCAACCCACAGAUCCGCAUGCACGUGCAGUUCGACGCCAACGAGCAUGGAAAGCCGGGGUGCUGGGACGACAUCGCCCGUACCGGCACCGCCUUUACACUGAACCACACCUCCUUCUGGGAUGCCUUCGUGAUGGUCGGCAUUACGCCCAUGUCGCACCUAAUACAGAUGCGCACACUGAUGAAGUCGUCGCUGCGCAAGAUCCCGAUCUUCGGCGGCGUCUUCGACCGCGUCGGGCACUUCCCCGUGCACUUCAAGUCGGGCGAGGACGGUAACUUCCACGUGGACAAGGAGAAGCAGGCGAUAGUGUCGCAACACAUGCGCUGGCACCUGCGCCUCGGCGGCAGCGUCGCCUUCUUCCCUGAGGGCGCCGUCAACAAAACCCCGGAGACGCUGCAGCCGUUCCGCUACGGCACCUUUGCUACCGUCAUCGAGCAUCGCCUCCGCGUCUACUACGUGGUAUCUGUCGGCAGCGAGAAGACGUGGCCGCCGCGAAUGGCGUGCGGCGGGCUGCCGGCCGACGUCCACAUCCGCAUCGGCGCCUACCCGAUCGACUUCGACAGGGACUCCAGCAGAAACGUCGCGGUGGGACUGCAGGUGCGCAUGCAGCAGGUGCGGGACGAGAUCGCGGCUGAGGUAGCCGCCGCGGAGGAGAGGCGGAGGCGGCGACGCAACGGUCCAGUGUCGGAGGCGAAGGGGGCAAAGACGCUGGACAUUGCGCCGCCCCACACUGCUCGUGAGGCUCAUCCGACAAGGGCGACGGCGUAAACCCGCCGUAAAACCUCAGCGGCCCGCAGGUAGCAUUGUUGUGCAGGGAGCCGACCGCUGUCGUCGUGUGAACAGACAGGGGGAGGGGGGUGGAGCGGAAGAACAGUCCACCAAGAGGUGCCUGCGGCCCUAUGGUCACCGACGCACGUGCAGGAAAGCACCAGCUUCAUGCGCGCCCCCUGCCCCUCCACCUAGUCACCUCACUGCCACGAUAACGCCCCCGACCCCAGCCCUCUGUGUGUAUGUGUGUGUGUGUGUGUGUGUGUGUGUAAUGGCCUCCUUACUUGCUCCCUGUCAUAGGCGCUGACUUGGUUCGCAACUUAUUCAUAAUGCUGAUGCGUUCGUGGCGUCGAUAUCUUCUUGCGUGCUCAUCACUUCGUGCUUGAAAAGCGUGUUUGAUGGCCCCUCUUCCUCCCCGUCCUUCUUCGUCUGUGCGCGAGCAGAUGCUUAUGGUGUAGGGCGUCGAAGACGGUCUUCAGCUCCCCUCAUCCGCUCACAUAGCAUGCGCGUGUGUGUCUGCACAUGGGUGCCUCGAUUUUGGUUGCCAAGAAGCUCCACUUCACGUUGCUGCUUGCCUUACGGCGUGCCCUCUCUUCUCCAUCACCCGCUGUUGCCCUUACGUCUGUCGCCGAGGUGCGCGGCGGGCAGGGGCGGGGAGAGGGGAGCAGGUUGGGGGGGGGGCACAGGAAGCACCCGCUCAGCGAUCGUCGCAGCGUACAGAGUCCAGCGCUCACGUCCUCGACUCUUUUUCCCUGUAUUUGUCACGCCAUCGCACACGCACAGCCGGUAGGGGUGCCACGUCGCCCUCCGGCGUCGAGCCUCCGCGUGAGAGGAUGGGGUGCAGUUCUAUGGCACCUCGACAUUCCUGCAGCCUUCCUCCACGCCCAUCCCCUCCCACAAGACAGCAGCUGAUGUGGCAUCGAAGCGGGAGGAGUGAACGAGGGAAGAGCGGGGAGGCGGCGGCGAAGAGGUCACGGCCAACGCGGUGCAUGUAUGUUGCCCGUGUGAUGGGCUCGCUUGCUCGGCCUUUGCCCUUUCUCUCUUCGCCACCUCUCCGCUCGUUGCCGCCAAGCAAGGCCGAAAGCAACAUGCACGCGUCGUGGUGUGGAAACAGGGGCGCGCCCAUCUGCGGAUCAUCCACGUGCCUUCGUUCGCCCUCGUCAUCUCAG